AUUCUCCCCAUUAGUUUUAAGUUCCUAGAGAAUAUGGACCAGAAGUCAAUUAAUCCAACCCCCUUUUUAUUUAUACAUGAGGAAACUGAGUGUGUAAGGCUACCCACUAGGUAGAUGUACUGAGAUUUGAACCAGAUUCUCCCAUUCCAAAUUCUCCUUGUCAUAGCUUUGUGUCUUCAGAGUUUAGCAUGAUAAAUGUAAAGUGUCUUAUAGAAUGCAUAUGAGGUACCUUCUAAUUCUGACGAUUUUUAUUCUACCUGGCAUUCAGUAGGUGCUUAUCAAAUGUUUUUUCACUUAUAUUGGAUUGGAUUCGAGUUACUAUUGCUACGUUUUUCUGUCCCUAGAUUUUUCUCCUAGAAUGUCAGACCUGGACCAAAAUUGGAAUCAGAGAUUCAUAGACUAUUUGAACUAGAAUCUUCAUGUUCUGAUGAUCAAUAAUCAUAUUGCAUUUGUUCUUCUAACCAAGCAUGCCAGAAACACUCCCCUACAGUCCUCCUUAGAAGCAUCAACAUAGGUGAGAGGUGACCCUGGAAUCUUGAAGGCUAUUCCAUCACCAAUGGAACACAUGCUCAGGAACUUCCCAAACAAUGAGCUAGAUCUGGCAAUGCAUGUACCAACCUCUUCAUCUAUGUGGACAUCCCUAGAAAGUAGACUGCCAAAGUCCGGUGCCACCUCUCUGUCCCAAAGGAAUCAAGGACUUGAGUUCAAAUUCAAGCUCUUCUUUGAAUUAUUUGUGUGACGUUGGAAAAAUCUCUGCCUCUCUAGGCCACCAUUUCCACCUCCAAAAUGGGAGGAGUUUCACUUAUGUGAAGACUGAUGUCCCUUCUUACCCUAAAUCUACUGUGGUCAUAUGAAUUGUUACUAUACUGGAUUUCAUAUUACAGUAAGAACAUAAUAUAAAAGCUAUGGAGGAGACCCUAUGGAUUUGGAAGUUGUUACCUAAAAGGAUGAAUUUUCUGUACCAACCAAACUGGUUUGAUACCUUUCUUUCUCCUAAUCAACAGUGAAACAACUCUUCACUUGGCCAGAGGAAAUGCGGUCUGGAAAGAGCUGGCUGUGGAGCUCAGAAGACUCCCUUAACUAAGAACAAACUAAGGGUCACUAAGGAAAGAUUUUACAGUCCCUCAUGAGUAGGAAGAGGACUCAGUAAUGUUCUGACUGUGGCGAAGAUGACUCAAGUCUACAUCAGGCAUUUUGUACUUUCUAGUUCAGAAAGGGCAGACUUUUCUUCUCUAGCUCCUGUCUUAGGCUAUUGUAUAGAGCAGUGAUUUGGAAAUGACAGUGGGUCAGGCCCUAGAUGAAAAUAAUUGCAGGGCCUUGGGGGAAGAGAUUUGCAAUGUAAAUAGAAAUCUUUCUUGACUGGAAAAAAAAAACCCUCUCAUUUUGUGCAUUUAGGAGAGAUAGAAUUCAAACACAUGUAUAUACAAA
This 1428-nucleotide long non-coding RNA is filed under the name Monodelphis domestica (gray short-tailed opossum). RNAcentral describes it as "lncRNA (ENSMODG00000031554.2)". Lineage: Eukaryota; Metazoa; Chordata; Mammalia; Didelphimorphia; Didelphidae. The record is from RNAcentral.